UCCUCUUGUAUACUUUGAAUCAGCUCUAGAUUACUUAUAAUACCUAACACAAUGUAAAUGCUGUAUAAGUAGUUGCUCGCACAUGGCAAAUUCAAAUUUUGCUUUUUGGAACUUUCUGAAAUUAAAAAAUUUGUUUCAAUCCACGGUUGGUUGAAUUCAUGGGCGUGGAACCUGUGGACACCGAGGGCUGACUAUAGCGAGAACAGGGUAUAUAAUGCACCCAGCUCCCUAAAUAUCAACCCACCACCAAUACCACUCAUCCUAGCUUCUCCACUAGGAUACACACACAGUACACACACACACAAAACCACUGCAAUCCAGAUUAUUAUGGAGCAGAUUCCAGACAUGAUACAAUUGUGUCUGUGGCUGUUUAAGACUGAGUCUCUAAAAGAAAAAGGCUCUGGAGUUCCCACUGUGGCUCAGCGGUAACGAACCCUAUUAGAAUCCAUGAGAACGUGGGUUUGAUCCCUAACCCUGCUCAGUGGGUUGCUGUGAACUGUAGGGUAUGUAGGUCACUGCCAGGGCCUAGAUCUGGCGUUGCUGCGGCUGUGGCGUAAGCCGCAAGCCGGCAGCAGCAUCUCUGAUUCGACCCCUAGCCUGGGAACUUUCACGUGCCACAGGUGUGGUCUUAAAAAUAAAUAAACAAAUAAAUAAAUACGUAAAUCAGUCAAUCAGUCAGGCUCUUACAAAGCACACACAUCCACACUACCACUACCUCACGCUCAGAAGUCAGCAGUAGUUCCUUAAUAUGACCAAACACCCAGCAGGGUACGAGCCCUCCUUUUGUAGCUGCAUAACCCUUCUCACAGAGCUGCAACAUCGUUUAUCCAUCGGGUCCCUGGGUGUUGGCCUUCGAUGACAGUACUCUUAGUUUUUCAUUAUUGCAUGUAAUGCCACUGUGUAUAACUUUGACAGCAACUUUUGCAUAACUUUCUGAUCAUUUUCUUAGGAUAAAUUGCUAAAAGUGGCAUUGUUGAGUCAAAGGCUGUGUAGGUUUUUAAAGACUCUUGUUCUAAAAUGCCCAAUUUCCUUCCAGUUGGUUCUCCUCAUUUAUGCAAUUCAUGAGGAAUGCAGGAGGCUGUCUAAUUAUUCCCGCAGUUUUAUUUUUAUUCUUCAGUAUAAAUGUUAGAAUUAUUUUGUCAAAAUAAAAAUACGAUAAAACUGCUUUUAAUUUUUGACUGCAUUUAUAUAUAAUAGAUAAUUUUUAGAUGAGUUUGUAUCAUAAUGCUAAGAAUUCUUAUCCAAGAAUAAGCAUUUUAUGUUCUUCAGGAAAUGUAUUGUUUUAUUCAUCUGCAUUCCCCACACUUCUUUUAAAAGACUAUGGAUUUUAUAUAAUUUUUCAUAAUUGUGAGUAAGAUUACUUUUCUUCUCUCCUUCUCAUUUCUUUUGUUCUCUGAUCCCCCAGCUAAUCAUUGCUGGUGUAAAUUACAGAAUAAAUACUGUAUGUUUAUUCUGUAAUGUCAACCUUAAUGAAAUUUCUUAUUAGUUUCAAUGGGUUUUUUUCCAGUUGAUUUUCUAGAUCUAUAUUCAUAUCACCUGGUAUUUUGACUCUUUCUUUUAAAUAUCUUACCUUUUAUUUCUGUUUCUUGUGUAAUUGCAGUGGCUAGCACUGCAAAAUAAGACUAAAUGGUGACAAGAAUGGUUGGCAUCAGGGUUUCACUUCCAACUUGAGUGGAAGUGGCUCUGUUCAUGGUUUAAUUUCUGCUUGAUGGUGGCUGUUGGUUUGUAAUUGAUCUCAGCUUAGGGUUUUUUUAAAUAUUGUAAAACAUUUAACACAGAACCUUUAAAAUAGUAAACAUAUAAUAGGUGUUUUUGUUGUUAUAUUUAUCAUGAAAAGAGAUAAACAUUUGAAUUUCCUUUCAUCAAGAUUGAUUCUAAAAUUAAGAAUGGAUGUUGAAUUUUAUCUAUUGCCUCUUCAGUGGCAUUUAAUUAAAUUACUUAUUCUUUACUCUAAUUUGUUAAUAUGAUGAUGUAUUAACAUUGAUAAAGCCUUCAUUUUUGGCAUCUAAAGCUAAUUUGGUCAUUAUCCUUUUAAAAUAAUGCUAGAUUCUAGUUUUUAAAAUUUUUAAACUUAUUUUUAUUUUCUAUUGAAGUAUAGUUGAUUGAUAAUGUUUUAGGUGCACAGCAAAGUGAUUCAGUUAUACAUAUGUAUAUGUAUAUUCUUUUUCAAAAUCUUUUCAUUAUAAGUUAUUACAAGAUAUUGAAUACAGCUCCCUGUGCUAUAUAGUAGGUCCUUGUUUAUGGAUUCUAAUUUCUAAUACUUUAUUUAGAGUAUAUGCAUCUAAUUUUAUGAGUUAAACUAUCAUUAUUUUUCAGAGCUAUCUUUGUUCAGGUUUGAGAUCAAGGCCAUGCUGGCUUGCAAAAUGAAUUGGGAGUUUUUCUGUCCAUCCUUCCUCCCCACUCUCUCCCCCUCCCCUAUAUGCUCUGUUCUGGGAAAGUUUGAAGAAGCUUACUUGUGAAAUUUCCAUGGGCAAGAACCUUAAAAAAAUACGUGCGUGUAUAUUUAAAUUUUAUUAAAGAUAUCUGUAUUAAAUCUAUCUAUAGUUUAAACGAUAUUUUCAAUUUCUUUCAUAACUAUUGCAGCUCUUAGUUUUUCUGCUUGUUCUUGAAUUAAUACUGGCAAUUUAUACUUGCAAAGAAAGUCAUUCUGACUUUGUUACUUAUUGGCAUAGAGCUGCAACCAGGCUUUUAUUAGUUAAAAAUAACUCUUCUGGAUCAGCAAUUGUAUACUUUUAUCUUUUAUAUCACCAGGCACUUGUGCCCUCUCGUUUCUGACUAGGGUUGCCAGAGAUUUAAUUAGUUGUUUCAUAGAAUAAGUUAGCACACAUUUAGAGGUGCUUUUUCUAACCCUUUAAAUUUUAUUGUUUCCCCUUAAAUCUAAGAGAACUUCAAGCUGAGAGUUCUUCUGUAAGGAUAGCUAUAUGUGAAUCCUAAAAGUUUUUAUAUGCAAUGUUUUGGUUACUGGUAUGUUCUAAACAUCUGUGGUUGCUGUUUUGAAUUAGACUUUCACCCAGAGUUUACUUUUACCCAAAGAGUAAUCUUUAAGAAUUAAGACUUUGUAUAUAGACUUUGUUUCUUCCGUUUCAGUUUGCCUUUUUGUUUGUUCACAUUUUAUUAUUACUAUCUACUUUUAUGGCAUUUUAGGUAGAAUUGAGACCAACAUUAUUCCCAGCUUUGAAAACUUUCAAUUUUUCAUGCACGAUGUGAUCAAUUCUUGCUACUAUUACGCAGGCGUUUCAAAGAAUGUCUGUUACCAUUACAUGUUUAACGUAUAUAACUAAAGCCUAUUACUCAUGCUGCGAAAAUCUUCUACCUGUAUUUAUUUCUAGUCCCUUGCUCCAAGUUGAUAGAGAUAUAUUAUUUCUUCAACUGCGAUUGUGUUUUAUUUCUUCUCGUAUCAUGUGAAAUUUCUGGAUUUAAUAGGUGAGGACAGCUAAAUACUGGCAGUUUUCUGUGGUUUCGCCUAUCCUUAAAACAUUUUAAAUGUAUAUUUUAAAAUAUGUUUUAUGUUUGAUACAUAAGAAUUCACUGCCUUACAUAACUACAGUGGGUGCUACCCUUUUGUCUCUGACACUCUGCUUUGAAUUCGAUGCCCUAUAAUAUCACUGCUGCCAGCCCUGACUCGCUGCUUGUUUGCGUUUUCNNNNNNNNNNNNNNNNNNNNNNNNNNNNNNNNNNNUUCACAUAAUUUUACGUACAUCUCUUUCCUGCAGCUUAUCUUAAGAUCUUGUUGUGUCUCUAUGUGAGAGGCUUUUAUUGCACCAGAGGUGUUAAGCCGCGGCACAUUUAUUUAAUAACCAAUAUACUCAGUUCUUGUAAUUUUUUUUAUUUCAUUUGUUUGCGUUCCAUUUUUAAAAAAUCCUCCCUUACUGUUUCCCUUCAAUUCUUUGCCUAUUUUUGCCUCUUUUAUUCUCCAGUGAUUUGGAAAAUAUCCAGCUUAUUUUUAUUCUCCUGGUGCCUCCCCUUCACUUCCUUCCUUCCUCUUCCCUCUUCAGCUUUAUUUAGAAUAAACGAGAGUGGAGAGUCAUGUAUUCAUUCAGCCAGUAGAUAUUUAUUAAGAGAUUUCUGUGUGCCCUACGCUGCAGUAGGCAAUGCAAGUCAGUGGUGACGGAGCCCUGCUCUUAUCGUUUAAUGAGGGGACAGAUAAUAAAUAUGCGAACAGGGAAGUGACCAGAGUGAUUCCUGUGCACAUAAUUAGAGUAAAAUGAUGUGGCAGAAAGUUACUAGUGGCUUCUUAGGCUGGAGCCCAGGAAAGGCCUCUGUAUACGUUUUCUAGCGCUCCCAAAACAAAAUGGCACAGGCCAGGUGGCUCAACCAACAGAAAUGAAUUUCCUCCCAGUUCUGGUGGCUGGAAGUCCAAGAUCAAGAUGUCAGCUGGGUUGGUCUCUUCUGAGGCUUCUCUCCUUGGCUUCCAGGUGGUCAUUUUCUCCCCGCGCCUUCACCUGGCCCUCCCUCGGGGUGCGUGCUUGUCUGGUGUCUGUACCUCCUCUGCUUAAAAGGACACCAGUCAUAUUGAGCGAAGGCCCACUCUGAGGGCCUCGUUUUAACUUCCGUCUUNNNNNNNNNNNNNNNNNNNNNNNNNNNNNNNNNNNNNNNNNNNNNNNNNNNNNNNNNNNNAAAUGUAGGGGGGACAUAACUCGGCCCCUAACAGCCUGUCCCAGGAGGUAGCUGAGAUCAUUUUGAAUGUGUUCGAUUUGAGACACAUGGAGCCGCUCUGUGUGCAGCAUGGUAAGUGUCUGGUGCUCAGAGCAGUGUGCCUUGCAGCAUAAGUGUGAGUUAUAUGCACCUGUGAAGUAGUCUGUGGAAGUGACGAACGGGAUAGAGUCUUCUCGGGAGAGCAUCUGAACUCGUACCAAAGAGGGCUGCCAGCUAGGCGCUGAGGCACUCCAGCACUUCAGGUUGGGUCAGGGAGAAAGCAAGUGAAGGAGGCAGAAAGAAAACCCCAAGAGAAGGGUGUUCUGGAGGCCAGAGAGGAGAGCAUUUCCACCCUGUCCAAAACUGUGGGAACGCCAAACAAGAUGAGAACAGAAAGACACCCACUGCGGUGUCGCUUGGAAGUCACGGCGUCCGUGGAAGGAGUAACCUCAGUGGGGCUGCAGGGACUCAGGCCAAGGUGGGUUGACUGGGGGAAAGUGGUGGGUGAGGGGGAGUGGAAACCCCUUCAAUGACAUUUUCAGGAAGUUUUGCUUGGAAGGAGAUUGAGGACAUGGAGCUGGUGGGGCUGUGGGGUCAAGAAUGAGUCUGACCUUUAGGAGGAGACAAGAUGGCAGAGCAGAGGACCUUGAGCUCGUGUCCUCUCACGAGCACUCGCAAAUCACACCUGACUGCUGAACAACCGUCGAUAAAAAGGCUGGAGGGAGUUCCCUGGUGGGUUAAGGAUCCAGUGUUGUCACUUGCAGUGGCUCAGGUCACUGCUGUAGCACGGUCAUCCCUGGCCUGGGAAUUUCCACCUGAUGCGGGUGUGGCAAAAAAAA
This 5473-nucleotide long non-coding RNA is filed under the name Sus scrofa (pig). Its description in RNAcentral is "lncRNA (ENSSSCG00005043783.1)". Lineage: Eukaryota; Metazoa; Chordata; Mammalia; Artiodactyla; Suidae. The record is from RNAcentral.